UACGUAGGGUGCGAGCGUUAAUCGGAAUUACUGGGCGUAAAGCGUGCGCAGGCGGUUUGCUAAGACAGGUGUGAAAUCCCCGAGCUUAACUUGGGAAUUGCGCUUGUAACUGGCAAGCUAGAGUGUGGCAGAGGGGGGUGGAAUUCCACGUGUAGCAGUGAAAUGCGUAGAUAUGUGGAGGAACACCGAUGGCGAAGGCAGCCCCCUGGGUUAACACUGACGCUCAUGCACGAAAGCGUGGGGAGCAAACAGG
This 253-nucleotide ribosomal RNA is filed under the name uncultured bacterium. RNAcentral's name for it is "partial 16S ribosomal RNA". It matches the Rfam family "Bacterial small subunit ribosomal RNA", at positions 524 to 776 of the family's 1533-position model. The record is from RNAcentral.